This is a long non-coding RNA of Rhagoletis zephyria (snowberry fruit fly), 307 nucleotides long. RefSeq lists it as uncharacterized. The record is from RefSeq and is a predicted model, not a curated record. NCBI's taxonomy places the organism in Eukaryota, Metazoa, Arthropoda, Insecta, Diptera, Tephritidae.
ACAUCACUUUUGUUUAUCACUUUUAAGAAUAGGGUGCAGAUAUAUAAUUAUAGAACGAGAAAACCAACCAACCAAUGUACCCAGAAUGACGUUUGAAAAUAAUACAAAAUCAGGAGCGGUGCAGUAACCGUCAAUAUUUUACAAAAUUAAAUUUUAAUUUAAGCCAAAAAAAGUGUUUAUCUUUGGAACAAAAAGUAAGGAAAAAGGAAUCGUGUUGCACGCGUCAGUAUGUUAUACUAUUUACUUAAAAAUGAGCUGUAUCAGGGAAAACGGGCAGACGCCAAAGCUCGCCCCAAUAACGUUCAGG